AUUGAACGCUGGCGGCAUGCCUUACACAUGCAAGUCGAACGGUAACAGGUCUUCGGAUGCUGACGAGUGGCGAACGGGUGAGUAAUACAUCGGAACGUGCCUAGUAGUGGGGGAUAACUACUCGAAAGAGUGGCUAAUACCGCAUGAGAUCUACGGAUGAAAGCAGGGGAUCGCAAGACCUUGUGCUAAUAGAGUGGCCGAUGGCAGAUUAGGUAGUUGGUGGGAUAAAAGCUUACCAAGCCGACGAUCUGUAGCUGGUCUGAGAGGACGAUCAGCCACACUGGGACUGAGACACGGCCCAGACUCCUACGGGAGGCAGCAGUGGGGAAUUUUGGACAAUGGGCGAAAGCCUGAUCCAGCAGUGCCGCGUGCAGGAUGAAGGCCUUCGGGUUGUAAACUGCUUUUGUACGGAACGAAAAGCCCCGGGUUAAUACCCUGGGGUCAUGACGGUACCGUAAGAAUAAGCACCGGCUAACUACGUGCCAGCAGCCGCCGUAA
This 498-nucleotide ribosomal RNA is filed under the name uncultured bacterium. Its description in RNAcentral is "partial 16S ribosomal RNA". It matches the Rfam family "Bacterial small subunit ribosomal RNA", at positions 30 to 523 of the family's 1533-position model. The record is from RNAcentral.